This is a long non-coding RNA of Homo sapiens (human), 402 nucleotides long. Ensembl annotates it as KBTBD6 divergent transcript. Its record names the gene KBTBD6-DT. The record is from Ensembl. Lineage: Eukaryota; Metazoa; Chordata; Mammalia; Primates; Hominidae.
GUAAUAUCGCGAUCCUUCUCUGGUGUUCCUUGUUUUAGCUGACGACACUCGAGAGCGCCAAUUUUCCUAGAUUCGAUUUUGUGGUUUGGAACUGUGGUUUUGGAAUCCAGAGUAGUCGCCUCGUUCUAUUGAGAUGGGGUUUCGCCACGUUGGCCAGGCUGGUCUCAAAAUCCUGACCUCAGGUAUCCAAUUGCUCCAGCACCAACUGGUGAAAAGACCAUCAUUCUUCUACUCAGUUGCAUUUGAAGCUUUGUCAAAAACCAGUUGAGUAUAUUGGUGUGGAUGUGUUUCUAUUCUGUGGAUCUCUCUUCCGUUCCAUUGAUCUAUGUGUCUGUUCCUUUGCCAGUACUACACUGGGUUGACUACCAUAGCAAUGAAAUAAACCUUAAAAUCAAACAGAGU